GGAAAGGGAAGAACCUCCGGGGUUAGGCGUAUUCUAGAUUGACGCCUUUUGCUGGAAGAGCGCUGCUGGGGUUAGGAUUCUGCGCGGCGAGGCAAGAUGCUCAAGUCCAAGACGUUCUUAAAAAAGACCCGGGCGGGCGGCGUGAUGAAGAUCGUGCGCGAGCACUACCUGCGAGACGACAUCGGCUGCGGUGCGCCCGGGUGCGCAGCGUGUGGAGGGGCGCACGAGGGGCCGGCCCUGGAGCCGCAGCCCCAGGACCCGGCGAGCAGCGUCUGCCCGCAACCGCACUACUUGCUGCCCGACACUAAUGUGUUACUGCACCAAUUGAUGUUCUUGAGGACCCUGCCAUCAGGAAUGUAAUUGUGCUACAAACAGUUCUUCAAGAAGUGAGAAAUCGCAGUGCCCCCGUAUAUAAACGCAUCCGAGAUGUGACUAAUAACCAAGAGAAGCAUUUCUAUACUUUCACUAAUGAGCACCAUAAGAAACCUAUGUAGAACAAGAACAGGGAGAAAAUGCUAAUGACAGGAAUGAUAGAGCGAUUCGAGUAGCAGCAAAAUGGUACAAUGAACAUUUGAAAAAAAUGUCAGCAGACAACCAGCUGCAAGUUAUCUUCAUAACAAAUGACAGGAGAAACAAAGAGAAAGCCAUAGAAGAAGGAAUACCAGCUUUCACUGUGAAGAAUAUGUAAAGAGCCUAACUGCUAACCCCGAACUCAUAGAUCGUCUUGCUUGUUUGUCUGAAGAAGGAAUGAAAUAGAAAGUGGAAAAAUAAUAUUUUCAGAGCAUCUUCCCUUAAGUAAGCUACAGCAAGGCAUAAAAUCUGGUACAUACCUUCAAGGAACAUUUAGAGCUAGCAGGGAAAAUUACUUGGAAGCUACAGUAUGGAUUCAUGGCGACAAUGAAGAAAAUAA
RNAcentral lists this long non-coding RNA (910 nucleotides) under Homo sapiens (human). RNAcentral's name for it is "non-protein coding lnc-MZT1-2:2". Lineage: Eukaryota; Metazoa; Chordata; Mammalia; Primates; Hominidae. The record is from RNAcentral.